CCUACGGGAGGCAGCAGUGAGGAAUAUUGGUCAAUGGACGGAAGUCUGAACCAGCCAUGCCGCGUGCAGGAAGACGGCUCUAUGAGUUGUAAACUGCUUUUGUACAAGGGUAAACCUGAAUACGUGUAUUCAGCUGAAAGUACUGUACGAAUAAGGAUCGGCUAACUCCGUGCCAGCAGCCGCGGUAAUACGGAGGAUCCAAGCGUUGUCCGGAUUUAUUGGGUUUAAAGGGUGCGUAGGCGGAUUGAUAAGUUAGGGGUGAAAUGUUCGAGCUUAACUCGGGAACUGCCUCUAAUACUGUUGGUCUAGAGAGUAGAUGCGGUAGGCGGAAUGUAUGGUGUAGCGGUGAAAUGCUUAGAGAUCAUACAGAACACCGAUUGCGAAGGCAGCUUACCAAUCUAUAUCUGACGUUGAGGCACGAAAGCGUGGGGAGCAAACAGGAUUAGAUACCCCUGUAGUC
Molecule: ribosomal RNA, 460 nt
Filed under: uncultured bacterium
Lineage: Bacteria
Description: partial 16S ribosomal RNA
Rfam family: Bacterial small subunit ribosomal RNA
Source: RNAcentral